This 20-nucleotide transfer RNA is filed under the name Tyto capensis (African grass-owl). RNAcentral describes it as "partial tRNA-Lys". Lineage: Eukaryota; Metazoa; Chordata; Aves; Strigiformes; Tytonidae. The record is from RNAcentral.
CCCCCCCCCUCCUUAGUGAA